GAUCAGGUGGCCGAGUUUUAAGGCGAUGGACUGCUAAUCCCUUGGGGUUUCCUAGCGAGAGUUCGAAUCUCAUCCUGAUCG
RNAcentral lists this transfer RNA (81 nucleotides) under Anisakis simplex (herring worm). It matches the Rfam family "tRNA". Rfam says of the family: Transfer RNA (tRNA) molecules are approximately 80 nucleotides in length. Their secondary structure includes four short double-helical elements and three loops (D, anti-codon, and T loops). The record is from Rfam by way of RNAcentral. Lineage: Eukaryota; Metazoa; Nematoda; Chromadorea; Rhabditida; Anisakidae.